AACGAACGCUGGCGGCAUGCCUAACACAUGCAAGUCGAACGAAGGCUUCGGCCUUAGUGGCGCACGGGUGCGUAACGCGUGGGAAUCUGCCCCUCGGUUCGGAAUAACAGUUAGAAAUGACUGCUAAUACCGGAUGAUGACUUCGGUCCAAAGAUUUAUCGCCGAGGGAUGAGCCCGCGUAGGAUUAGGUAGUUGGUGGGGUAAAGGCCUACCAAGCCGACGAUCCUUAGCUGGUCUGAGAGGAUGAUCAGCCACACUGGGACUGAGACACGGCCCAGACUCCUACGGGAGGCAGAAGUGGGGAAUAUUGGACAAUGGGCGCAAGCCUGAUCCAGCAAUGCCGCGUGAGUGAUGAAGGCCUUAGGGUUGUAAAGCUCUUUUACCCGGGAUGAUAAUGACAGUACCGGGAGAAUAAGCUCCGGCUAACUCCGUGCCAGCCGCCGCCGUAA
Molecule: ribosomal RNA, 449 nt
Filed under: uncultured bacterium
Lineage: Bacteria
Description: partial 16S ribosomal RNA
Rfam family: Bacterial small subunit ribosomal RNA
Source: RNAcentral